CCUACGGGCGGCUGCAGUGGGGAAUAUUGGGCAAUGGGCGAAAGCCUGAUCCAGCCAUGCCGCGUGUGUGAAGAAGGCCUUCGGGUUGUAAAGCACUUUCAGUGGGGAAGAAAGCCUUGGGGCUAAUACCCUCGAGGAAGGACAUCACCCACAGAAGAAGCACCGGCUAACUCCGUGCCAGCAGCCGCGGUAAUACGGAGGGUGCGAGCGUUAAUCGGAAUUACUGGGCGUAAAGCGCGCGUAGGCGGUCUGAUAAGCCGGUUGUGAAAGCCCCGGGCUCAACCUGGGAACGGCAUCCGGAACUGUCAGGAUAGAGUGCAGGAGAGGAAGGUAGAAUUCCCGGUGUAGCGGUGAAAUGCGUAGAGAUCGGGAGGAAUACCAGUGGCGAAGGCGGCCUUCUGGACUGACACUGACGCUGAGGUGCGAAAGCGUGGGUAGCAAACAGGAUUAGAUACCCUUGUAGUC
Molecule: ribosomal RNA, 465 nt
Filed under: Vreelandella stevensii
Lineage: Bacteria; Pseudomonadati; Pseudomonadota; Gammaproteobacteria; Oceanospirillales; Halomonadaceae
Description: partial 16S ribosomal RNA
Rfam family: Bacterial small subunit ribosomal RNA
Source: RNAcentral